This 305-nucleotide ribosomal RNA is filed under the name uncultured bacterium. RNAcentral describes it as "bacterial SSU rRNA". It matches the Rfam family "Bacterial small subunit ribosomal RNA", at positions 334 to 652 of the family's 1533-position model. The record is from RNAcentral.
GACCUACGGGAGGCAGCCGUCGAGAAUCAUUCCCAAUGGGGGCACCCCUGAUGGUGCGCCGCCGCUUUUUGUCCUUCCUUUCUUCUUAUUUUCACCCCCUGUCAUGUUUUCUCAAAUUAAAAAGAUAGUCCCACCAGAUGAAGAGACGGCUCCCUCUUUGCCAUCAUCCGCGGUAAUACAGCUGUCUCAAUCGUUUUUCGGAAUCCCUUUUCGUAAAGCUUGCGUAGGCUUUUUCGUAAGUCGUGUGUGAAAGGCGCGGGCUCAACCCGCGGACGGCACAUGAUACUUCGAGACUAGAGUAAUGG